UUUUGCUAAAAUAGCCUUCUCAUUGGCUGCGGCUUUGGAGGUGGCAGAAAUCAUACGUUUAAUCACGGCGCCCUCCUGCUUGCCAAGUGGCUCUGCAGAAACCCAUGAAAGAGGAUCCUGAAAGAGCAAGGGCGGCCUCCAGGUGAAGGUGGUGGGCGGCCUCCAGGUGAAGGCGGCCUCCAGGUGAAGGUGGUCAGCACCCUCCCUUUGGCCAAGAGGAGACUGCAGUUUCAACUCAAAGAUUAUUCCUGAAUGAUGCAGCAAGCUUAAACUUCCUUAAAAACAAACCUCUGGGAAGAGGAAAACGAGGCAAGAUGCUGAGAAAAAGUCAUCUCCCACUCUGCCCUUCUCUGGCAAAUCGAAGUGUCCUCUUGUGGGAGGCGGUGGGCAGCGACACUCCUGUUGGACGUCAGUGCUCUCGGGAUGGGCCCGGCCACCCCGGAGCAGAACUCACUUAGGGCCUGGUGCCCCUGUGCCCAGUUCUCAGAACGUCGGAGUGCUCAGUUCUCAGAACGCCGGAGUGCCCCAUUCAUAACCUGCAGCCCCGUUCAUAGCCUGCAGCUCCCCUCCUUCCUCUCCUCCCGGUCGUCAGGGAGCACCCCCAGCUCCCCUCCCCACUCUCAAACCCUCCUCCUCCCUCCCCUCUCUCAUUUCCCUGUUUGCAGGAUCUCCUCCUGCCCACUCUCCAGCCCAGGUCCUCCCCUCUCAUCUCCAAUUCUGCUUCAUGGGCCAUGACAGCAGGCAGGCCAUGGCCUGCUCUCAGCAGUUUGAUCGAUGGACUAAGGAGAUCACUCCUAUGAGAGUGAAAAAGUCAAAUGUGCCUGAGAUUCGGAUGGGGAGCUCUCAAAGCUACGGAUUGCAAGAGUCAACACCGCCUCAAAAGUACAAGGCCGGCCGGGUGCAGUGGCUCACACCUGUAAUCCCAGCACUUUGGGAGACUGAGGCGGGUGGAUCACCUGAGGUCAGGAGCUCAAGACCAGCCUGACCAACAUGGUGAAAUCCCGUCUCUAUUAAAAAUACAAAAAAGAUUAGCCGGGUGUGGUGGUGCAUGCUUGUAGUCCCAGCUACUCGGGAGGCUGAGGCAGGGGGAGCACUUGAACCCGGGAGGUGGAGGUUGCAGUGAGCCGAGAUUGCACCAUUGCACUCCAGCCUGGGCAACAGAGUGAGACCCUGCCUCAAAAAAAUAAAAAAAUAAAAGUACGAGGCCCGGUUUAAAUGCAGGAGGAAUCUGGUGAGCGAGUUUCACUCUGAUGCAACAGAAAAGCCAAGCCAAGCCUUGGCUGUGCCUGGUCUUGGCCGGGGAGCCACAGGCAGGGUCUGCUGGUUUCGGUGUCAGGGGCACAUCCCCAGGACCACGUCUGAGAUGGGAAGUGCCUUGAUGGAAAACUGAUACCUUUUUCUUUCCGAGUAACUUUAGAACAUGUCGCUUCAAAUAUAACUAAUAUCCUGAUUUCAGUGGACUUGCAUGGAAGGAAACGCAAGUUCAUUUGCCAGUGGGGGGUGAGGACUGGGAGAGUGGGGAGCAGGGUGGGGAAGAGGGGAGCAUUCCACAAGCCGCAAGAGCCUGGACACCUCCAGCCUUCAAUAAAUAGCAUUUGAAUUUGCUGUGCCUAAUUCAACCUUGCAUUUGCGUAGUGAAAGUCAGGCCCGCGGUGUGUAUAGUUUGGCACAUGAGUUCAGCUCGGGUCCCCUUGAUCUGCUUCUGUGUUCUCACUCUCUCCCUGCCCGGCACGCCCCUCUUUUUCUAUCCAGAUGAGCGAAGGGGUGAAUUAGUCCAGAAAUGUUUCUGCUCCAGUCAAACAAACAUUAUCACCUGUCAGUCAAACAUUAUCACCUGUCAGUCACCAGAGACGUGCACGGGUGCCUUCUCCUUUGCCUCGAGGUUUCUAUGACCUGGGAAAAGCCCAUCCCAUUCCCGGAUGAGGCUUCCCUGCCACGGGUCACAGACACACGAGCUACGCCCCACCUUGCCAAAACUUUCAAGGUGGGAUGGAAGAAUCUGUCGUUUCUGCAUUUACGAUCCCGUACGUGUUCCGUGCUGCAUCUGUUCUGGUUGGGUUGUCUCUCCUCUCAAGGCCUCUUUUGACCCAAACUUACUGCAAAGCAGAUGAGUGAGCCAGAAGCUGCGCUGGGCGUUGGGGGUUGUGGCA
RNAcentral lists this long non-coding RNA (2150 nucleotides) under Homo sapiens (human). RNAcentral describes it as "HSALNT0235228". The record is from RNAcentral. Lineage: Eukaryota; Metazoa; Chordata; Mammalia; Primates; Hominidae.